GCUUUAUCUGAAAAGUAAGUAUCUUACCUCGGGAUAAAGGGAGGAAAGAGGGGUUUGUGGCCAGACUGACAGAGGAAGGGUGGACGGAGAGAACCGAAGCGCUCGCUGCUCCCACAACACAGAGCUGGAGAGCUUCGCUCUUCUCCCCCCUGCAUCGAUCAGGAUUGAUGAGGAGGAGACUGUGGGACGGGACGGAGGAGCGGAGACAGAGCGGGCCACGGUGAGGUUUUGAUGAAUGCAGAGUUCUUGUGAUGAACUUGCGACCUGUCCAGUGUGAAGCAGGUGCAGAAAAUGGCCAGAUGAAAACAAACUGAGAAGUGUGCCGUUUGGACUGAGUCCUCCAUGUUGGUUCAUGAGCUUUUUGCUGCUGCUUCAUAGUGCCGCUGACGCACGGCUCUCAAGAAAACAAAUCGAGCAGCCACCUUUAGAAAAGACCCUCUGUCAUUCAGAGAUCAGAGGACCGACUUGUGUUGAAGCAAAUGUUAAUAAAAGGCCUGGCAUGAAGACUGCCUCUCAUGUCAAGGACCGUCUUAUAAUGAGAACAUAAUGAGAAAUGAAAGUUGCAGCCAAUUUAAUAAAAUCUUGGAAAGAAGGGUGAGAUAACAGGAUGGUUGGAGAAUGUGAUGGGAAUGACUCUCAGCUACCACCACCUUCAUCCUCAGCUCAGUAGUUCUUUAAGUACAGUCGUGGUUUUGGAUCGACUCGUCGAUGUGCAUCCAAUGAAAGUCUGAAGUUUUCAUCACAAUCCACCCAGUGGUUCAUGAGAUAUUUUGCUAACACAACAGACAAACAAACACACCAACAGAGGGCAAAAACAGCCCUUUGACAAUCAGUGGCAAAUAAAAGUUAGAUUUUGGCUGAUAACAUAUUUUUUUAAAUGACAUGUAAAUAACUUGCAUUAAAUAAAUCUGCAGUUUGAAGUAUCCAUGAGAACAGACAUAUUCAAUAAAAUAUUAUUUUAACUCGUCACUGGAUCAGCCAUCAGCAGCAUUUAGGUAUUUUCUCUUAUUUUCCAUCAGAUAAGUGAAAUAACAGCACGUAUAGAUGUUGGGUUGAUUUUAAUAUGCAUUUUUAAAUAUCCCUGUUAUUUUUUUUACCCAACAGUUUGUGUCACAUUAAAAAAAAACUAUAUAUAUAAUAUGUAACUAAUGCUCCUCCAACUGUGAGUUUAUAUAAAGAGCCUGACUGGAUAAAAAAAUGUUUGUAAUUAUGUUUAAUUUUUACUAGAAAGAGUUACUUCUGACAUUUUGACAUGGAGUUCUGUGGAGAAGUUAUGAAGAAAUACUACCUUACCUGCAGUAGAUAUCUUUUCAACCUCAGUUUGCAGAAAGAGAUUAUUUCCCACCUGACAGGAGAGCUAAUGGCUCAUUCAAACAUAGAAAAGAUCAAACUGGAUCGUUGCCUUGUUAAAACGGCUCCAUUAUCCAAGAUUUUAUAGCCGUUUAUGCAAACACUUUGAUUUUUAAACCAUCAUGAAUUUUAAUUUAAAGAUGUGUGCAGAGUUCUGUUGUUGUUUACAAGAACAAAUAGCGGGAACAGCAUUCAGAGUUGUUUUAAAACAGCCGUAAUCCACUUUAGCCUUGGAUGUGUUCAGACUAGCCGUUUGCUUGUCACUUUGAAAUGAAUUAAACUAUUUCUACAAAGUGAGGUAUCUGUCUGCAACAGGUAAGAUAAUAACUAAUCAUAACCUGUCCACAAAACCUCAUUUCAAACUGUCAUCAACAGUGUGACACUGUAAGAACUGUUUUUUUUAUUUAAAUAAAACACUCCAACAUUUUAGUUUA
Long non-coding RNA from Austrofundulus limnaeus, 1784 nucleotides. RefSeq lists it as uncharacterized. Lineage: Eukaryota; Metazoa; Chordata; Actinopteri; Cyprinodontiformes; Rivulidae. The transcript has 2 exons. The record is from RefSeq and is a predicted model, not a curated record.